RNAcentral lists this unclassified non-coding RNA (596 nucleotides) under Schaalia hyovaginalis. Its description in RNAcentral is "partial contains 16S ribosomal RNA, 16S-23S ribosomal RNA intergenic spacer, and 23S ribosomal RNA". The stretch from base 1 to 138 matches the Rfam family "Bacterial small subunit ribosomal RNA", at positions 1400 to 1533 of the family's 1533-position model. The record is from RNAcentral. Lineage: Bacteria; Bacillati; Actinomycetota; Actinomycetes; Actinomycetales; Actinomycetaceae.
CGUCACGAAAGUUGGUAACACCCGAAGCUCAUGGCCUAACCGGUUUGCCGGGGGGAGUGGUCGAAGGUGGGAUUGGCGAUUGGGACGAAGUCGUAACAAGGUAGCCGUACCGGAAGGUGCGGCUGGAUCACCUCCUUUCUAGGGAGCCCUGUUGGGGGAUUGCUGUGCUGUGCUGCCUGUGGGUGGUGUGGUGUGGUGGUUUCUUGUGCUCAUGUUUGGUCAUCAUGCGUUGUGUGUGGUGGGUGUGGGUGCGUUGUGGGGUUGGGUGUAGAUGAUGGACACGCUGUCGGGUUCACGGUCAAUACCUGUUGGCCGGUGGCCCCUUUUUGUGGGGGUGUGUGGCUUGCUGGCUGCCCGCGUGUGUGUGGUGGUUGGUGUGGUGGGUUGUUUGUGAUUUGUAUAGUGGUUGUGAGCAUCUUUUUUGUUCUGUGGUUUUGUUUAGUUGUGUGGGGCAUUCGGUGGAUGCCUUGGCAUCAAGAGCUGAUGAAGGACGUUGCGGCCUGCGAUAUGCCUCGGGGAGUUGGCGAGCGAACUGUGAUCCGAGGGUGUCCGAAUGGGGGAACCUAGCUGGGGUUGUGCCUGGUUACCAUCAUCUG